AAAUGAAUUAAGGGGCAACCCUUAACUGGCCGAUUGGGGAAAAACCGAGAGGUUCAAGCCCAGGGGGCAGAAAGUUCUACGGAGUAGCGCUAAAAUCGUAGAGCGGUCAUGGCUUGGCGGUAGCGCAUACAACGACGAGCCAA
The submitters of this non-coding RNA (143 nucleotides) gave its source as unclassified sequences. The record is from Rfam.